This 253-nucleotide ribosomal RNA is filed under the name uncultured bacterium. RNAcentral describes it as "partial 16S ribosomal RNA". It matches the Rfam family "Bacterial small subunit ribosomal RNA", at positions 524 to 776 of the family's 1533-position model. The record is from RNAcentral.
UACGUAGGCAGCGAGCGUUGUUCGGAGUUACUGGGCGUAAAGCGUGCGUAGGCGGUGUCUUAAGUUUGUUGUGAAAUCUCCCGGCUUAACCGGGAGGGUGCGGCGAAUACUGAGAUGCUGGAGUGCCGGAGAGGUAAGCGGAAUUCCUGGUGUAGCGGUGAAAUGCGUAGAUAUGAUGUAGAACACCAAUUGCGAAGGCAGUUCACUAAGCUGUCAUUGACGCUGAGGCACGAAAGCGUGGGGAGCGAACAGG